Molecule: small RNA, 747 nt
Filed under: Pan troglodytes (chimpanzee)
Lineage: Eukaryota; Metazoa; Chordata; Mammalia; Primates; Hominidae
Description: processed transcript
Source: RNAcentral
ACUGCUGGUUUUGGGUGUGUGUGUUUGUGAUUUAAAAUUACAUUCAGUCAACUCUAUAGCCCUAUGGGCUUUUUGAAUAACCAAGUGCUCAACAGUUCUGUAAUCUUUCAGGUUGCUGUGAUCAGUCCCCAAGGAGUCUACACUCUCAAAGAGAUUGGGAAAGGCCUGUGAGACAAUGGGAUUCUUUUUUCUAGAGGUGUAACUCUGCCUGUGUUUGCAUGCCACCUCCAGAACCACUAAAAUAUAAUUUCUCAGUGGGUGAUUGAGUAAGACUGGCAGCAAUUGCAAAAGCAGAUUCAUGCCAUGUGUCACUCUUCACAGUCAGGAACUUAUUUACCUCUUGGAACUUUCCAAAGGAACGAUGAUGGUGGCGGUAAUGUCACAUUAGUAUGGAGCCCUUAAAUUCAGCAGUGUUCAACCUGAGGGAAGACAGAGGCCAUGCUGGAUAAGGAGCUGGCUGCCUCUGUGAACAUCCUACUCAAGGCAUCUUCACUGCUGUACAUCCUUUUGAAAUCCCAGAGAUCUUCAGUCUCCCUGUGGAUUAAGGAGAUGUGCAGUAUUUAAAGUGGCUUCAGGAAGGCAUGGAAGAGGACUGAGUGGGGAAAGCUUUUUGUGCAUGCUGCUGGCUACCUCCAGCAGCUGCCUCCAGCCUCCAUCAGCUGCACUCUGGGGAAGAGGAGGCUGCCUUCUACCUCCCAGCAUCUCUGGAUUUCAUGUUCCUGUCAGCACAGAGGAGCUAAAUGGCCU